GGGCGCAUAGCUCAGUUGGUUAGAGCACUGCCUUCACACGGCAGGGGUCAGGGGUUCGAGUCCCUUUGCGCCCA
This 74-nucleotide transfer RNA is filed under the name Acidimicrobiales bacterium. Its description in RNAcentral is "tRNA-Val". It matches the Rfam family "tRNA". Rfam says of the family: Transfer RNA (tRNA) molecules are approximately 80 nucleotides in length. Their secondary structure includes four short double-helical elements and three loops (D, anti-codon, and T loops). Lineage: Bacteria; Bacillati; Actinomycetota; Acidimicrobiia; Acidimicrobiales. The record is from RNAcentral.